UGAAAAUACUAAUGGACAAUCUCUGGAAAAAACUUAUGCACGGAGAGCUCUGAUAAGUUUCUUCUUUCCCACAACAUGCAUUGUAAAGGAGAAUCAGGAAGUGGAGGCUUGCAAUAAUCUGCCAAAUCUUAACAAGAGUGCAUGUUUGGAAUACAGAUGCUGUUAUUCAUCAUUUGGGACCAUGAACUUCCGCUGUUUUGCCCCAUUAAGCAAUAAGCCUUUGCAGAUAUUCCGGAUAUUUGGAUUUGGUGUGAUUAGCAUGAUCAUCCUGGGAUGUCUGCCCAUUUAUUGCUUUUCUCUUCACUG
This is a long non-coding RNA of Myotis davidii, 306 nucleotides long. RefSeq lists it as uncharacterized. Lineage: Eukaryota; Metazoa; Chordata; Mammalia; Chiroptera; Vespertilionidae. The record is from RefSeq and is a predicted model, not a curated record. The transcript is spliced from 3 exons.